GUGAAUCAUCGAAUUUUUGAACGCAAAUUGCACUCUCUUCGGUGAGUAUGCGUGUUUGAGGGUCAGCAUAAAAAAAAUCGACAUAGUCGCUGUUUUGCGGUGACAUUCGUCGGAAAUUGGGUCAUCUUAAACCUUUGGGUUUUAAGCGGCUUAAAAUUUUUUUUACGAUUCGACGAACGUUUCUCAGAUUUUCUCCUUACACGUUUAAAG
RNAcentral lists this unclassified non-coding RNA (210 nucleotides) under Glomus sp. RNAcentral describes it as "partial contains 5.8S ribosomal RNA and internal transcribed spacer 2". The stretch from base 1 to 65 matches the Rfam family "5.8S ribosomal RNA", at positions 84 to 154 of the family's 154-position model. Lineage: Eukaryota; Fungi; Glomeromycota; Glomeromycetes; Glomerales; Glomeraceae. The record is from RNAcentral.